CCCCCCCCCCCCCCCCCCCCCCCCCCCCCCCCCCCCCCCCCCCCCCCCCCCCCCCGGGGGCGCUGGGGAAGGGCUGGGUCACGGCGUGGGGCGGUGCCCCCCAAAGACUGCCCCCGAGCCGAGCCCAGCCAGACCCGACCCUCAGCAGGGGCAUUCCCAGCUGGAGCAGCCACAGGAUGGGGGCACAGCCUUGCGGUUAUAGUGGUUUUUCUCUUCUACUUCUCUGCUUUUAAUUACCUUUUUUUAAUUUAUUUUUUUUUUGUUUAAAUACAUCCAACUGUGUUAAUUUCUUAUUUGUGGAAAGGGCUAUCUGCACCAUAACUAUCACCUUUACAUACACACACGCACACACGAAAAAGGAAACAUAUAUUAAAAACACUUUUUAAGCAAUACUCUGGAUACAAAUGUAUUUUUUAACCUACAUAUAUUCUAAACCUUCUAAACUUUUAAGGAUCACUUUAUCAUAAAAUAAAAUAUCCUUUUUUCUUAUAAUAAAUUACCUAAUAAAAAGUAUUUUUAUUAGCCCAGUUCCUUGCUACAUUUACAUGUAAUAAAUGCAUUUAUUAAAAUAGAAUAUUAAAUUAUAAAGAAAUGUUCUAAUUUUAAAAUCUUAAUCUUUUUUUCCCUCCUCUCUCUCUCUUUAAAAAACACCAGGAAAUGCAUCAAAAUAAACCCUUCAAACACCAAACAAAACAGGUUGGAGUAUUUUGAUUUCAGAGGUUAACAAUAUUAACAGUCUGAGCCUUUGUAUGUAUGAAGAUUAUUAUUUUUUUAAGAAAGAAAGAAAAGAGAAAAAAAUAAUAGAUAUCCCUCCAGCUGAAAAAUACUUUUGCAAAUGGGAGCUAGGACAAGAUAUUUUUAUAGUAUCUCCUCAUUAACUAUAAAUCCAAUUUUGGUUCUUUCUUCUUUCUUUUAUUAUGCAUUAUAACACACACUAUUCUCUAUAUAAUUUAUGUCGAUGAGGAUGACAUCACAGCAUGAUAUUACUUUAUCCCUCCGUUUCCCUUUGUUAUGUUUUGUCACCCGCUCCCCCGCACCGUCCCUCCGCCGGGAGUGGCUGUCCCCGCCCCAAACACCGCCCGAGGACGCAGCUCUGGGGACGCGGCACUGUCGCGACAUCCCCGACCGGGUCGCACCUCCCCGGCGCGCCGGGAGCGGGGAGCGCUCGCCCCCACAGCCCUGGCACGGCUCGGCUCCGCCCGGGAGGGCACACCCGCGAGGAAAGGUGGUGGGACGAGUCCCAAACCCAGCGCGGCCCCGAAGCCCCGCUCCUUGUUCGCAGCCAGCGCCGAAAUCGGGACAGUUUGGUGAAAUACAGGUGGAAAUCUCGGCCCGGAACCGGGCGGGCAUCGAGUUACAGCCGCUGCAUCCCGGGGAUGGCACCGAGUUACAGCCGCUCCAUCCCAUUGAUGGUACUGCGUUACAGCCGCUCCAUCCCGGGGAUGGCACCGCGGUACAGCCGCUCCAUCCCAGUGAUGGCACCGCGUUACAGCCACUCCAUCCCGGGGACGGCACUGAGUUACAGCCGCUCCAUCCCAGCCAUGGUACCACGGUACAGCCGCUCCAUCCCGGGGAUGGCACCACGGUACAGCCGCUCCAUCCCCGGGGCUGAUCCUGCCAAUCCUGCCCCUACCCAGACACGUCCUGCCAGCAGCCCAGCGCUUUCCAGCGCAGCUCUGCUCCCUCUGCUCCCAGCCCCGGUUUUUGGGCACCUGCCCUCAGUGCCACAGCUUGUGCCCGCGCGUCGCUGCCUCACAAAAGGGCUCCACUUCCAACAUUCACCCCAGAAUUGCUCAGCACGGCUCAGCUGCGUCCCCAGCCUGGCUCCGCCGGCCCCACGGGCUGAUGCAAACCCCGAGGAGCCCCCCACUCCCCAGCCGGGCGAGUGGAGACCCGCGGCUCCCGCGGGCACCGGCGCCCCUCAGGAGGUGCCCGUGUCCUGUCACCGCUCCCAGGAACCCACCCCGCUCUGGUGGGAUGUGAUUUUGCAGGAUGGAGGUCUCAUGGACCACGCUUCCCACAAGGGUCUUGCUGCUCCUAAUCCAGAGGGAGGAAGACCCAGUUUGGUGUGUCGGGUCCCAGCUCCAGCUGCCUCCCUCCAGCCCAGGUGCAAGUGGGGUGUCCCCAUCUCCUCAGCACUCCAAGGGGGUUAUCCCAAAAGCCUGGGAAGGAUCGUGGGGGCAGCUGAAGCCAGCGAGGCUCAGUCCAGCUGGUUCACAUUACAUCCUUGUGAGGGAAGGGAAGGGGAGAAGUGCAGGGACCCAGCUCGGUGGGCGCUGCAGAAAAGGGAUGGGUGCAGGAGGAGGGGGCUGUCUUUAGUUAUCGUUAUUGCUGGUGAAUUAGACCAACAAGCCAUUUUUAGUCACCUAUCAAGGAAGAUACAAGUCAGAGCAAAUAGUUAAGGUCAUGGGCAUUUUUCUUGUUUUUUGUUUUUAUUUUUUUUUUUUAAAGAUUUUUAUAUAUAUACAUAUAUUUAAAAAGAGCCCCCCCCCCCCCCCCCCCCCCCCCCCCCCCCCC
This 2517-nucleotide long non-coding RNA is filed under the name Ficedula albicollis (Collared flycatcher). RNAcentral describes it as "lncRNA (ENSFALG00000021437.2)". Lineage: Eukaryota; Metazoa; Chordata; Aves; Passeriformes; Muscicapidae. The record is from RNAcentral.